CGGAUCAUAUUCGGUUAUUCGGGUAGGAUCAUAUUAUGAAAAGUUAUAUGAGCCCGAAUCUGAGCGGGUAUAGGUGUGCUCGUAUCCGGGAUCAUAUAUUAUACGGGCUUAAUUUUUCCGCCAGAUUUGGAUCGUUUUCAAAACGAAUAUGAGACAUGUAUCAUAUUUUCGAGCCGGAUAUGAGCCGAGACACCGGAUAGUCUGUAUCGAUUUACAGCCCUAUAUGCAACUGAAAACCUGCACCUGUUAGGUGUGACAUGGGACGGGCACGUACUUCUCGGCUCUCUCUACAUAUAUGAUAUACUCCCUCCGUCCCAAUAGGUAGUAUACAUUUGGUGUGGACACGGAGACCAAGAAAAAGUGUAAAAAAUGAGUAAAGUUAGAUGAAAAGUGAGUAAAGUGGCGGGACUCAUAUAUAUUUAAUUAUAGAUGUGUGAUUGUGGGGAAAGCAGUGGGUGUAAUAGUGUUUAUAUUAUUAUAAAAUGAAGACAGUGGAAAAAGUAGUUGGUGUAAUAGUGUUUUACAUUAUUAAAAGUUGUUAUUUUAAGAAUGUAUAGAAAUGAUGGGACGUCCCAAAGAGGAAACUGUAUAGAAACGAUCGGGACGGAGAGAGUAUGAAUUAAAAGAGUCAAGUUUUGGAAUACAAUGCUCCCAAAAAAAUUGUUCGACGUACAAUUUACAACAGAAGUGGUGACACAUAUUUCCUUUGUUUUUAAAUAUCUGUUUCUAAGCUGUGGAUUAAAGCACUUAUUAAAGUAGUCAAGUGCUGCCCAUUAUUGUUUCGAUGAAUAAAGUAUUCUCAAGCGUAACUAAGUGAGGGUUCAAAAAUUGUUCAAAAGCUGUACAUAAAACAAGAAUUAGUUAACGGUAGAUGCAGUGGGUCAACUAUUAUUCGACACAAAGCGUUUUGGUAUGGAAGUAUACGCUCACAUUAGUUGUGUGUUUCUGUCACAUCUCACAUGCACCGGUCAUUGUUAUUCAUCUACUAAUAAUCAGCAUGACUAAACUACUGUAAUGUUUUCUUGUUUGUAUGGCUUUUGAUAAGUUUGUUGGGGGAAGUUGAACCUGCGCAACUGCUAUAAAUUCGACUCUCUUUAGGGCUGUUUCUGUUCCAUUCCGAUAUCCAGACGCGAAAAGUUUCAAUAGUAAAGGUGUUUAGUUGAAAAAAAUAAAUUUCAUAAAAUAUAUAAAUAUCAUCAUACUUGAGAAUUUGUAUAUAUGAAAAUUAGUGCUUCUAUUCGAAAGUUAAUUUUUAUAUCCAACCACACAAAAACUUAAAUAUGAUUUAAUUUGUAACAAAUUAAGGCUGCUUAUUUGAAUAGUAAAGGUCCGUGCUAUGCGU
This 1342-nucleotide long non-coding RNA is filed under the name Daucus carota (carrot). RNAcentral describes it as "long non-coding RNA (DCAR_LNC003145)". The record is from RNAcentral. Lineage: Eukaryota; Viridiplantae; Streptophyta; Magnoliopsida; Apiales; Apiaceae.